GCACAAGCGGUGGAGCAUGUGGUUUAAUUCGACGCAACGCGAAGAACCUUACCAGGGCUUGACAUCCCCUGACCGCGUAUGAAAGUACGUUUUCACCCUCGGGUGACAGGGAGACAGGUGGUGCAUGGUUGUCGUCAGCUCGUGUCGUGAGAUGUUGGGUUAAGUCCCGCAACGAGCGCAACCCCUACGUUUAGUUGCUAACGCGUGAAGGCGAGCACUCUAGACGAACUGCCGUUGACAAAACGGAGGAAGGUGGGGAUGGCGUCAAGUCAGCAUGGCCUUUAUACCCUGGGCGACACACACGCUACAAUGGGUGGUACAGUAGGUAGCGAAGGAGCGAUCCGGAGCAAAUCUUUAAAACCAUCCUCAGUACGGAUUGCAGGCUGAAACCCGCCUGCAUGAAGCCGGAGUUGCUAGUAACCGCAUAUCAGAAUGGUGCGGUGAAUACGUUCUCGGGCCUU
This 461-nucleotide ribosomal RNA is filed under the name uncultured Pelotomaculum sp. RNAcentral's name for it is "bacterial SSU rRNA". It matches the Rfam family "Bacterial small subunit ribosomal RNA", at positions 923 to 1382 of the family's 1533-position model. The record is from RNAcentral. Lineage: Bacteria; Bacillati; Bacillota; Clostridia; Eubacteriales; Desulfotomaculaceae.